Peromyscus eremicus (cactus mouse) is the source of this 107-nucleotide small nuclear RNA. The record is from RefSeq and is a predicted model, not a curated record. Lineage: Eukaryota; Metazoa; Chordata; Mammalia; Rodentia; Cricetidae.
GUGUUUGCUUCAGGAACACAUGUACUAAAAAUGAAAUGUUUCAGGGAAGGUUAGCAUGGGCCCUGUACAAGGAUGACUUGCACAUUUUGUAGCAGUCCAUGUUAAUU